Molecule: ribosomal RNA, 465 nt
Filed under: Vreelandella stevensii
Lineage: Bacteria; Pseudomonadati; Pseudomonadota; Gammaproteobacteria; Oceanospirillales; Halomonadaceae
Description: partial 16S ribosomal RNA
Rfam family: Bacterial small subunit ribosomal RNA
Source: RNAcentral
CCUACGGGUGGCUGCAGUGGGGAAUAUUGGACAAUGGGCGAAAGCCUGAUCCAGCCAUGCCGCGUGUGUGAAGAAGGCCUUCGGGUUGUAAAGCACUUUCAGUGGGGAAGAAAGCCUUGGGGCUAAUACCCUCGAGGAAGGACAUCACCCACAGAAGAAGCACCGGCUAACUCCGUGCCAGCAGCCGCGGUAAUACGGAGGGUGCGAGCGUUAAUCGGAAUUACUGGGCGUAAAGCGCGCGUAGGCGGUCUGAUAAGCCGGUUGUGAAAGCCCCGGGCUCAACCUGGGAACGGCAUCCGGAACUGUCAGGCUAGAGUGCAGGAGAGGAAGGUAGAAUUCCCGGUGUAGCGGUGAAAUGCGUAGAGAUCGGGAGGAAUACCAGUGGCGAAGGCGGCCUUCUGGACUGACACUGACGCUGAGGUGCGAAAGCGUGGGUAGCAAACAGGAUUAGAUACCCCAGUCGUC